This 497-nucleotide ribosomal RNA is filed under the name uncultured bacterium. Its description in RNAcentral is "partial 16S ribosomal RNA". It matches the Rfam family "Bacterial small subunit ribosomal RNA", at positions 28 to 507 of the family's 1533-position model. The record is from RNAcentral.
GAUGAACGCUGGCGGCGUGCCUAAUACAUGCAAGUCGAGCGAACAGACGAGGAGCUUGCUCCACUGACGUUAGCGGCGGACGGGUGAGUAACACGUGGAUAACCUACCUAUAAGACUGGGAUAACUUCGGGAAACCGGAGCUAAUACCGGAUAAUAUAUUGAACCGCAUGGUUCAAUAGUGAAAGACGGUUUUGCUGUCACUUAUAGAUGGAUCCGCGCCGCAUUAGCUAGUUGGUAAGGUAACGGCUUACCAAGGCAACGAUGCGUAGCCGACCUGAGAGGGUGAUCGGCCACACUGGAACUGAGACACGGUCCAGACUCCUACGGGAGGCAGCAGUAGGGACUCUUCCGCAAUGGGCGAAAGCCUGACGGAGCAACGCCGCGUGAGUGAUGAAGGUCUUCGGAUCGUAAAACUCUGUUAUUAGGGAAGAACAAAUGUGUAAGUAACUAUGCACGUCUUGACGGUACCUAAUCAGAAAGCCACGGCUAACUACGUG